This 381-nucleotide ribosomal RNA is filed under the name Anthomyza shewelli. RNAcentral's name for it is "partial 16S large subunit ribosomal RNA". The record is from RNAcentral. Lineage: Eukaryota; Metazoa; Arthropoda; Insecta; Diptera; Anthomyzidae.
CGAAGGUAGCAUAAUCAGUAGUCUUUUAAUUGAAGGCUGGUAUGAAUGGUUGGAUGAGAUAUUAACUGUUUCAUUUAAAAUUUUUAUAAAAUUUUAUUUUUUAGUUAAAAAGCUAAAAUAUUAUUAAAAGACGAGAAGACCCUAUAAAUCUUUAUAUUUUGUUGUUAUUAAUUAUUUGGAUAUCUUUGGUUAUUAAUAGUUAAAAUAUUUUAUUGGGGUGAUAUUAAAAUUUAAUAAACUUUUAAUUUUUAAAUACAUAAAUUUAUGAUUUUUUGAUCCAUUAUUAAUGAUUAAAAAUUUAAGUUACUUUAGGGAUAACAGCGUAAUUUUUUUGGAGAGUUCAUAUCGAUAAAAAAGAUUGCGACCUCGAUGUUGGAUUAA